UAGGGAAUCUUCGGCAAUGGACGAAAGUCUGACCGAGCAACGCCGCGUGAGUGAAGAAGGUUUUCGGAUCGUAAAACUCUGUUGUUAGAGAAGAACAAGGACGUUAGUAACUGAACGUCCCCUGACGGUAUCUAACCAGAAAGCCACGGCUAACUACGUGCCAGCAGCCGCGGUAAUACGUAGGUGGCAAGCGUUGUCCGGAUUUAUUGGGCGUAAAGCGAGCGCAGGCGGUUUCUUAAGUCUGAUGUGAAAGACCCCGGCUCAACCGGGGAGGGUCAUUGGAAACUGGGAGACUUGAGUGCAGAAGAGGAGAGUGGAAUUCCAUGUGUAGCGGUGAGAUGCGUAGAUAUAUGGAGGAACACGAGUGGCGAAGGCGGCUCUCUGGUCUGUUACUGACGCUGAGGCUCGAAAGCGUGGGGAGCAAACAGG
This 429-nucleotide ribosomal RNA is filed under the name Gemmatimonadota bacterium. RNAcentral's name for it is "Gemmatimonadetes bacterium partial 16S ribosomal RNA". It matches the Rfam family "Bacterial small subunit ribosomal RNA", at positions 355 to 776 of the family's 1533-position model. Lineage: Bacteria; Pseudomonadati; Gemmatimonadota. The record is from RNAcentral.